This 902-nucleotide ribosomal RNA is filed under the name Pseudoverpa anthracobia. Its description in RNAcentral is "Gyromitra anthracobia partial large subunit ribosomal RNA". It matches the Rfam family "Eukaryotic large subunit ribosomal RNA", at positions 44 to 961 of the family's 3401-position model. The record is from RNAcentral. Lineage: Eukaryota; Fungi; Ascomycota; Pezizomycetes; Pezizales; Discinaceae.
CAAUAAACGAGGAAAAGAAACCAACAGGGAUUGCCUCAGUAACGGCGAGUGAAGCGGCAACAGCUCAAAUUUUAAAGCUGGCGUCUUUGACGUCCGCAUUGUAAUUUGGAGAGGCAUCUUCGGUUUGGGCGCCAGCCUAUGUUCCUUGGAACAGGACGUCACAGAGGGUGAGAAUCCCGUGCUUGGCUGGCUGUCCCAUUCCAUGUGAAGUGUCUUCGACGAGUCGAGUUGUUUGGGAAUGCAGCUCAAAAUGGGUGGUAAAUUUCAUCUAAAGCUAAAUAUUGGCGGGAGACCGAUAGCGCACAAGUAGAGUGAUCGAAAGAUGAAAAGCACUUUGAAAAUAGAGUUAAAAAGUACGUGAAAUUGUUGAAAGGGAAGCGCUUGAGACCAGACUCGGCCGGGGAUGAUCAGCGGCCCUUCUGGGCCGUGCACUUGUCUUCGGUCGGGCCAGCAUCGGUUGAGGCGGCGGGAUAAAGGCUCGGGGAAUGUGGCUCCCGUCAGGGAGUGUUAUAGCCCCGGGUGCAAUGCCGCCAGCCUCGACCGAGGACCGCGCUUCGUGCUAGGAUGCUGGCUUAAUGGUCUUCAGCGACCCGUCUUGAAACACGGACCAAGGAGUCUAACAUCUAUGCGAGUGUUUGGGUGUCAAACCCUUGCGCGUAAUGAAAGUGAACGGAGGUGGGAACCCUUCACGGGGUGCACCAUCGACCGAUCCUGAUGUCUUCGGAUGGAUUUGAGUAGGAGCAUAGCUGUUGGGACCCGAAAGAUGGUGAACUAUGCCUGAAUAGGGUGAAGCCAGAGGAAACUCUGGUGGAGGCUCGCAGCGGUUCUGACGUGCAAAUCGAUCGUCAAAUUUGGGUAUAGGGGCGAAAGACUAAUCGAACCAUCUAGUAGCUGGGUCCUGC